Molecule: non-coding RNA, 112 nt
Organism: Acanthosepion pharaonis
Lineage: Eukaryota; Metazoa; Mollusca; Cephalopoda; Sepiida; Sepiidae
Source: the annotation of a GenBank genome assembly
UACGGCAACAUCACGUUGAAACACCGGUUUCCGUGCAAUCAACGAAGUUAAGUUACGUCGAGCCUAGUCAGUACCUAGAUGGGUGAACGCUUCGGAAUACCAGAUACUGCAA